GCCGGAGUGGUGGAACUGGCAGACGCGCGGGACUCAAAAUCCCGUGGCCGCAAGGCCGUGAGGGUUCGACCCCCUCCUCCGGCA
Deltaproteobacteria bacterium GWC2_65_14 is the source of this 84-nucleotide non-coding RNA. NCBI's taxonomy places the organism in Bacteria, Deltaproteobacteria. The record is from Rfam.